UUAACCUCUCAAACUCUCCCCCCGUGCUUGCCAAGCUCCCACCGCCUGGGAUCCCCUGACUGUGGCAAAUGAUAGUGGAUAGGGGAACCUGCAGGGCCCCACAGGCAUCCCUUUGUAUCAGGCUGCUCUGCCUAUGCAGGGGUGAAAUAGCUCUAAACUCACCCUAGGAGCAAAAGUGAGCAGAGCUAGAUGGAGAAGGAGGGUGGGCUGCUUUUGGUGUGGAAGAAUUCACCAGCAUUCAAUUUUGGUGUUGAAGAAUGCUGAGACCAGCCAGACUCAUCAAUCCCAUAGUUAACAUCACAGGAGCAAAAGAGCUUUGCCCAUGAUCCUUGCUAUGGAUUACACAGGAUGGCUCUGUCAGCUGCCUCUGUCAUCACCUCACAUGCAGAUGCUGACGUGACACAGCUCAGCAACUCUACAUCACACAGAGACAUCCGCCUGCUCUGAUCAAAGGCCCGGGAGAAUCAGCACAGACUGCCAUGGUACCCAGGGGACAUGGAAGUGAUGGAAGCACAUCAUCCUGAGGUUUCAGCCCACACUGUCUGUGCUUUAUUUUUCUCAGAAUGAAAUAAAACAGCACAAGAUUUCAAAAACUGGUUCAUAUUUUAUUAUUUUGCAUGGGUCUGACUUUGAUGAAGAUGUUAAAGUACCAACACACUAAUUAAAGAUGACAAAACAGUAACAAAUAUCAGUGGAUCCAGCUUGAGCAAACAGCAGCAGGAAGAAUGCUGAGGUCGUAAGAAUUAACAGAUGAUUAAAGAUGCAUUGGGCUACGCCUUAGUCAUGGACUGAAAAUGUCAUUAAAAAAAAAAUCAUCAAACCCUCUAUAAAUAACUUCAUGAUUAUUUCUCAGGGAAAUUGUCGGGUGUUUCAACACUACUCAAUUGUUCCUUUUCCUUCCUCAGCAGAAGACUGAAAUAUUUACUAAAUUAUUUAAAUGUUAUUUUAUAGACCACUAUCUAUAGAAAAAGUAAUGUUUUCAGCAUACACCUCUCAGGGAAUAGCAACAAAAUUUUAAUCUGAUUUAAAAUUAACUACUUUUGAAACAACAAAACAAUGAGCAAAAAACUCACAAGGACAGGUUCUAAAAUGAAGUAAAAUUCUGAUCAAAAUGGGGGAUAACCACUGCUUUUAUCCUUAUACAACCAAACCCAGAAUUUAGCACAGGGUAUUUGAUUCUGCCAUCAAAACAUGACUUGAUUCUUUAUAUUACAGAACUAAAA
Parus major (Great Tit) is the source of this 1223-nucleotide long non-coding RNA. RefSeq lists it as uncharacterized. The record is from RefSeq and is a predicted model, not a curated record. The transcript is spliced from 3 exons. Lineage: Eukaryota; Metazoa; Chordata; Aves; Passeriformes; Paridae.